Molecule: transfer RNA, 71 nt
Filed under: Triticum aestivum (bread wheat)
Lineage: Eukaryota; Viridiplantae; Streptophyta; Magnoliopsida; Poales; Poaceae
Rfam family: tRNA
About the family: Transfer RNA (tRNA) molecules are approximately 80 nucleotides in length.
Source: Rfam by way of RNAcentral
GGCAUGGUGGCCAAGCGGUAAUGCAGGGGACUGCAAAUCCUUUAUCCCCAGUUCAAAUCUGGGUGUCGCCU